This 1287-nucleotide ribosomal RNA is filed under the name metagenome. Its description in RNAcentral is "bacterial SSU rRNA". It matches the Rfam family "Bacterial small subunit ribosomal RNA", at positions 242 to 1520 of the family's 1533-position model. The record is from RNAcentral.
UAGCUAGUUGGUGAGGUAAAGGCUUACCAAGGCGACGAUCUGUAGCGGGUCUGAGAGGAUGAUCCGCCACACUGGAACUGAGACACGGUCCAGACUCCUACGGGAGGCAGCAGUGGGGAAUUUUGGACAAUGGGGGCAACCCUGAUCCAGCCAUGCCGCGUGAGUGAAGAAGGCCUUCGGGUUGUAAAGCUCUUUCGGCCGGGAAGGAAUCGCAUGGGCCAAUACCCUGUGUGGAUGACGGUACCGGAAUAAGAAGCACCGGCUAACUACGUGCCAGCAGCCGCGGUAAUACGUAGGGUGCGAGCGUUAAUCGGAAUUACUGGGCGUAAAGCGUGCGCAGGCGGUUUUGUAAGACAGGCGUGAAAUCCCCGGGCUUAACCUGGGAACUGCGUUUGUGACUGCAAGGCUAGAGUACGGCAGAGGGGGGUGGAAUUCCACGUGUAGCAGUGAAAUGCGUAGAGAUGUGGAGGAACACCAAUGGCGAAGGCAGCCCCCUGGGUCGAUACUGACGCUCAUGCACGAAAGCGUGGGUAGCAAACAGGAUUAGAUACCCUGGUAGUCCACGCCCUAAACUAUGUCAACUAGGUGUAGGGUGGGUAAAACCAUUUAGUACCGUAGCUAACGCGUGAAGUUGACCGCCUGGGGAGUACGGCCGCAAGGUUAAAACUCAAAGGAAUUAACGGGGACCCGCACAAGCGGUGGAUGAUGUGGAUUAAUUCGAUGCAACGCGAAAAACCUUACCUACCCUUGACAUGCCAGGAACUUGCCAGAGAUGGCUUGGUGCCCGAAAGGGAGCCUGGACACAGGUGCUGCAUGGCUGUCGUCAGCUCGUGUCGUGAGAUGUUGGGUUAAGUCCCGCAACGAGCGCAACCCUUGUCGUUAAUUGCCAUCAUUUAGUUGGGCACUUUAACGAGACUGCCGGUGACAAACCGGAGGAAGGUGGGGAUGACGUCAAGUCCUCAUGGCCCUUAUGGGUAGGGCUUCACACGUCAUACAAUGGUCGGUACAAAGGGUUGCCAAGCCGCGAGGCGGAGCCAAUCCCAGAAAGCCGAUCGUAGUCCGGAUUGCAGGCUGCAACUCGCCUGCAUGAAGUCGGAAUCGCUAGUAAUCGUGGAUCAGCAUGUCACGGUGAAUACGUUCCCGGGUCUUGUACACACCGCCCGUCACACCAUGGGAGCGGGUUCCGCCAGAAGUAGGUAGCCUAACCGCAAGGGGGGCGCUUACCACGGCGGGGUUCGUGACUGGGGUGAAGUCGUAACAAGGUAGCCGUAGGGGAACCUGCGGCUG